Molecule: ribosomal RNA, 253 nt
Filed under: uncultured bacterium
Lineage: Bacteria
Description: partial 16S ribosomal RNA
Rfam family: Bacterial small subunit ribosomal RNA
Source: RNAcentral
UACGGGGGGGGCAAGCGUUGUUCGGAAUUACAGGGCGUAAAGCGCGUGUAGGCAGCUUCGCAAGUCGGGUGUGAAAGCCCUGGGCUCAACCUAGGAAGUGCACUCGAAACUGCGGAGCUUGAGUCUCGGAGAGGGUCGCGGAAUUCUCGGUGUAGAGGUGAAAUUCGUAGAUAUCGAGAGGAACACCGGUGGCGAAGGCGGCGACCUGGACGAUGACUGACGCUGAGACGCGAAAGCGUGGGGAGCAAACAGG